CGGGAAACUGGGGAUAAUACCGGAUAUAUGGAGAUGCCUGGAAUGGUACUCCACUUAAAGCUCCGGCGCCUAAGGAUGGAUCUGCGGCAGAUUAGGUCGUUGGUGGGGUAAUGGCCCACCAAGCCUAUAAUCUGUACGGGUUGUGAGAGCAAGAGCCCGGAGAUGGAACCUGAGACCAGGUUCCAGGCCCUACGGGGCGCAGGAGGGGCGAAACCUCCGCAAAGGGAGCCAUCGCGACGGGGGGGACCCCAAGUGCCACUCUUAACGGGGUGGCUUUUCUUAAGUGUAAAAAGCUUUUGGAAUAAGGGCUGGGCAAGACCGGUGACAGCCGCCGCGGUAACA
RNAcentral lists this ribosomal RNA (342 nucleotides) under uncultured archaeon. RNAcentral's name for it is "partial 16S ribosomal RNA". It matches the Rfam family "Archaeal small subunit ribosomal RNA", at positions 133 to 475 of the family's 1478-position model. The record is from RNAcentral.